Molecule: ribosomal RNA, 350 nt
Filed under: uncultured eukaryote
Lineage: Eukaryota
Description: SSU rRNA
Rfam family: Eukaryotic small subunit ribosomal RNA
Source: RNAcentral
CCAGCACCUGCGGUAAUUCCAGCUCCAAUAGCGUAUAUUAAAGUUGUUGCAGUUAAAACGCUCGUAGUCUGAUGUAAUGGGGACUGGAGUGGGGAGCAGCGAUGCUCUUUGCUUUGGUCCUCAUCAACGGGACAGCAAUGUCCCAUUUUACUUUGAGGAAAUUAGAGUGUUCAAAGCAGGCGAUUGCUUGAAUACUGCAGCAUGGAAUAAUGGAAUAGGACUCGCGUCUUAUUUUGUUGGUUUGGAGAUGUGAGUAAUGAUGAAUAGGGACAGUUGGGGGUAUUCGUAUUCAAUUGUCAGAGGUGAAAUUCUUGGAUUUAUGGAAGACGAACUACUGCGAAAGCAUUUAC